GGGUUGUGAGGUUAAGCGACUAAGCGUACACGGUGGAUGCCCUGGCAGUCAGAGGCGAUGAAGGACGUGCUAAUCUGCGAAAAGCGUCGGUAAGGUGAUAUGAACCGUUAUAGCCGGCGAUGUCCGAAUGGGGAAACCCAGUGUGAUUCGUCACACUAUCGUUAACUGAAUACAUAGGUUAACGAGGCGAACCGGGGGAACUGAAACAUCUAAGUACCCCGAGGAAAAGAAAUCAACCGAGAUUCCCCCAGUAGCGGCGAGCGAACGGGGAGCAGCCCAGAGUCUGAAUCAGCUUGUGUGUUAGUGGAACGGUCUGGAAAGUCCGACGGUACAGGGUGAUAGUCCCGUACACCAAAAUGCACAGGUUGUGAACUCGAAGAGUAGGGCGGGACACGUGGUAUCCUGUCUGAAUAUGGGGGGACCAUCCUCCAAGGCUAAAUACUCCUGACUGACCGAUAGUGAACCAGUACCGUGAGGGAAAGGCGAAAAGAACCCCGGCGAGGGGAGUGAAAAAGAACCUGAAACCGUGUACGUACAAGCAGUGGGAGCACCUUCGGGUGUGACUGCGUACCUUUUGUAUAAUGGGUCAGCGACUUAUAUUCUGUAGCAAGGUUAACCGUAUAGGGGAGCCGCAGGGAAACCGAGUCUUAACUGGGCGUUAAGUUGCAGGGUAUAGACCCGAAACCCGGUGAUCUAGCCAUGGGCAGGUUGAAGGUUGGGUAACACUAACUGGAGGACCGAACCGACUAAUGUUGAAAAAUUAGCGGAUGACUUGUGGCUGGGGGUGAAAGGCCAAUCAAACCGGGAGAUAGCUGGUUCUCCCCGAAAGCUAUUUAGGUAGCGCCUCGUGAAUUCAUCUUCGGGGGUAGAGCACUGUUUCGGCUAGGGGGUCAUCCCGACUUACCAACCCGAUGCAAACUACGAAUACCGAAGAAUGUUAUCACGGGAGACACACGGCGGGUGCUAACGUCCGUCGUGAAGAGGGAAACAACCCAGACCGCCAGCUAAGGUCCCAAAGUCACAGUUAAGUGGGAAACGAUGUGGGAAGGCACAGACAGCCAGGAUGUUGGCUUAGAAGCAGCCAUCAUUUAAAGAAAGCGUAAUAGCUCACUGGUCGAGUCGGCCUGCGCGGAAGAUGUAACGGGGCUAAACUGUGCACCGAAGCUGCGGCAGCGACACUAUGUGUUGUUGGGUAGGGGAGCGUUCUGUAAGCCUGCGAAGGUGGCCUGUGAGGGUUGCUGGAGGUAUCAGAAGUGCGAAUGCUGACAUAAGUAACGAUAAUGCGGGUGAAAAGCCCGCACGCCGGAAGACCAAGGGUUCCUGUCCAACGUUAAUCGGGGCAGGGUGAGUCGACCCCUAAGGCGAGGCCGAAAGGCGUAGUCGAUGGGAAACAGGUUAAUAUUCCUGUACUUGGUGUUACUGCGAAGGGGGGACGGAGAAGGCUAUGUUAGCCGGGCGACGGUUGUCCCGGUUUAAGCAUGUAGGCGGAGGUUCCAGGUAAAUCCGGUACCUUUUUAACGCUGAGGUGUGAUGACGAGGCACUACGGUGCUGAAGUAACAAAUGCCCUGCUUCCAGGAAAAGCCUCUAAGCAUCAGGUAACAUUAAAUCGUACCCCAAACCGACACAGGUGGUCAGGUAGAGAAUACCAAGGCGCUUGAGAGAACUCGGGUGAAGGAACUAGGCAAAAUGGUGCCGUAACUUCGGGAGAAGGCACGCUGAUAUGUAGGUGAAGCCCCUGCGGGUGGAGCUGAAAUCAGUCGAAGAUACCAGCUGGCUGCAACUGUUUAUUAAAAACACAGCACUGUGCAAACACGAAAGUGGACGUAUACGGUGUGACGCCUGCCCGGUGCCGGAAGGUUAAUUGAUGGGGUUAUCCGUAAGGAGAAGCUCUUGAUCGAAGCCCCGGUAAACGGCGGCCGUAACUAUAACGGUCCUAAGGUAGCGAAAUUCCUUGUCGGGUAAGUUCCGACCUGCACGAAUGGCGUAAUGAUGGCCAGGCUGUCUCCACCCGAGACUCAGUGAAAUUGAACUCGCUGUGAAGAUGCAGUGUACCCGCGGCAAGACGGAAAGACCCCGUGAACCUUUACUAUAGCUUGACACUGAACAUUGAGCCUUGAUGUGUAGGAUAGGUGGGAGGCUUUGAAGCGUGGACGCCAGUCUGCGUGGAGCCAACCUUGAAAUACCACCCUUUAAUGUUUGAUGUUCUAACGUUGGCCCCUUAUCGGGGUUGCGGACAGUGUCUGGUGGGUAGUUUGACUGGGGCGGUCUCCUCCCAAAGAGUAACGGAGGAGCACGAAGGUUAGCUAAUCCUGGUCGGACAUCAGGAGGUUAGUGCAAUGGCAUAAGCUAGCUUGACUGCGAGCGUGACGGCGCGAGCAGGUGCGAAAGCAGGUCAUAGUGAUCCGGUGGUUCUGAAUGGAAGGGCCAUCGCUCAACGGAUAAAAGGUACUCCGGGGAUAACAGGCUGAUACCGCCCAAGAGUUCAUAUCGACGGCGGUGUUUGGCACCUCGAUGUCGGCUCAUCACAUCCUGGGGCUGAAGUAGGUCCCAAGGGUAUGGCUGUUCGCCAUUUAAAGUGGUACGCGAGCUGGGUUUAGAACGUCGUGAGACAGUUCGGUCCCUAUCUGCCGUGGGCGCUGGAGAAUUGAGGGGGGCUGCUCCUAGUACGAGAGGACCGGAGUGGACGCAUCACUGGUGUUCGGGUUGUCAUGCCAAUGGCAUUGCCCGGUAGCUAAAUGCGGAAGAGAUAAGUGCUGAAAGCAUCUAAGCACGAAACUUGCCCCGAGAUGAGUUCUCCCUGAGACUUUAAGUCUCCUGAAGGAACGUUAAAGACGAUGACGUUGAUAGGUCGGGUGUGUAAGCGUAGCGAUACGUUGAGCUAACCGAUACUAAUGAACCGUGAGGCUUAACCUUACAACGCCGAAG
This 2926-nucleotide ribosomal RNA is filed under the name Klebsiella aerogenes. Its description in RNAcentral is "bacterial LSU rRNA". It matches the Rfam family "Bacterial large subunit ribosomal RNA". The record is from RNAcentral. Lineage: Bacteria; Pseudomonadati; Pseudomonadota; Gammaproteobacteria; Enterobacterales; Enterobacteriaceae.